AUUACAGGUGUUGCAUGGCUGUCGUCAGCUCGUGUCGUGAGAUGUUCGGUUAAGUCCGCUAACGAGCGCAACCCUCGCUGUGUGUUAUAUGUGUCACACAGGACUGCUGGUAUUAAGCCGGAGGAAGGUGGGGACGACGUCAAGUCAGCAUGACCUUUAUAUCCAGGGCUACACACACGCUACAAUGGUCAGUACAAUGGGUUGCCAAGCCGCGAGGCGGAGCCAAUCCUAAAAAGCUGGCCUCAGUUCAGAUUGCAGUCUGAAACUCGACUGCAUGAAGUCGGAGUUGCUAGUAAACGCAGGUCAGCUAUACUGCGUUGAAUACGUUCCCGGGGCUU
This 338-nucleotide ribosomal RNA is filed under the name uncultured Anaerolineaceae bacterium. RNAcentral describes it as "bacterial SSU rRNA". It matches the Rfam family "Bacterial small subunit ribosomal RNA", at positions 1031 to 1382 of the family's 1533-position model. The record is from RNAcentral. Lineage: Bacteria; Bacillati; Chloroflexota; Anaerolineae; Anaerolineales; Anaerolineaceae.